CUGCCUUCGUCGACCAACAUCCUCCUACUGCUGCAACACCUCCUUCAUCAUCAGGCCAGGACCACCACUAUCUACCAGCUCUCUGGAGAGGGAGAGCAUGGAGAGAUACAUCAGUGAGUCCCUGGCAGCUGGCAUAAUUCGUUCAUCAACUUCAUCUGUGGGAGCUGGGUUUUUCUUCGUUGGUAAGAAGGAUGGAACACUCAGACCAUGCAUUGACUACAGGGCCUUAAACUGGAUCACUGUAAAGAAUAAAUAUCCACUGCCAUUACUUGCCUCAGCUCUUGAACUCGUUCAGGGAGCCACUAUAUCCACCAAACUAGACCUCUGUAAUGUUUACCACUUAAUCAGAAUGCGAGAGGGGAAGAGUGGAAAACGGUAGUUUAAUUAUGGUAGUUUUAAUGAUUAACUUUAGCGCAUGUUGAAAGACGGAUCAUGAUUGUUUUGAGCAGGCCUCAGUUUAGGUUAGUUUUAGACUCAUGGUUUAAUCAAUACAUAACUUAAUCAGAAGAACAUUUUUCUUAGAUAUAAUCAUCACGAUUUAAUUAAAAUUAGUCUAAUCAGUAGUUUUUAUAUUAGAUCACAUUAAGAGUGUAGAACUCAAAUAUUAAUCUGGAAAUUGUUUUAGUUCAUAUAACUAAGGAAGUUGAAAACUAAUCAGAGAAUAUUGAGUGCAAAAGAUGUUUUGGUAUUGAAAUUGCUCAUGUCUGUUUUAUAAGAGUUUAAAGAUAUUAUAUGAAACGUGUGGUAAUUUUUAUAAUCAAAAUCUGCUAUUUGAUGCCCUGGGUCAGAGGAGAGGUCAGGAAAGCUCUUUGUGGUUCAGGAACCAGUUUGAGGCAGUUUGAAGGGAUGAAAAACACAGAUAGCUUUUAAACUUUGGUCCUGCUUUCUUGAGUAAAAUGUUUCUGUAUGAAAUUAACACAUCUAUUGUUUGUAGCCUGUGAAAGUGCGCAUGGAGGAUAGCUUAGACAGCGAUGAAUUCAUCUCUUGGCCUUGACAACACCUGCAUGGUGUCUGGUGUAAAAAACAGACACACGUCAUUACGGGCUGUUUGAGACCACCUCUAAACUGUACGUUAGAACACAUCAGACAAUAGAAACACACCUUGAUAUAAAAGUAAUUGAGCUAAAACAGCUGGUCAGAUCACUGGGGUGGAACUGCCUUAACUGCCACACACAGUGGUCUCCGAAGGCGCGUGUUCGUAUUUUUGUAUUUUUCUAAGGUAAUUAAUUUCUUCUUUGUGGCUUUGGUUUCUGAUGAUUAUGAUGUUGAUGUGAUUUUAUGCACUUUUAUGCACUAGUUUGAAUAAAAUUCUGCUUGAUUGUGAAGUUGAACAGUGACUGUUGUCUUUGUGCUUUCACUUUUACACACUACAUUAACGGACCUGGGGAAACGAGAUAACAACAAGCAACAGACCUGUCCAUGGCUCCAACGACAUCAUCAAGUUUGCAGACGACACCACGGUGAUCGGCCUCAUCAGAGAUGAUGAGGCCGCUUACAGGGAGGAGGUAGACCGUCUGGCUGAGUGGUGCGACUAAAACAACCUGCAGCUGAACCCCAAGAAGACCAAGGAGCUUAUUGUGGACUUCAGGAGGAACGCUGAGCUACAUCCACAUUAAGGGGACAGUGGUGGAGCGUGUGGACACCUUUAAGUUCCUGGGAGUCCACAUCUCCGAGGACCUGACUUGGACGACCAGCUGCUCCAAACUCAUCAAGAAGGCGCAUCAGCGCCUCUUCUUCAUGAGGACCCUGAGGAAGAACCACCUGUCCUCAGAGAUCCUCACGAACUUCUAUCGCUGCACCAUUGAGAGCAUCCUCACCAACUGUAUAACAGAAUUGCUCUGUCUCCAACCGGAAGGCGCUGCAGAGGGUGGUGAAAACUGCCCAGUAUAUCGCUGGGGCACCGCUCCCUGCCAUCAAGGAUAUCUACAGGAAGCGGUGUUUGAAAAGGGCCGGGAAAAUCACAAAGGACUU
Gambusia affinis (western mosquitofish) is the source of this 1971-nucleotide long non-coding RNA. RefSeq lists it as uncharacterized. NCBI's taxonomy places the organism in Eukaryota, Metazoa, Chordata, Actinopteri, Cyprinodontiformes, Poeciliidae. The transcript has 3 exons. The record is from RefSeq and is a predicted model, not a curated record.